UUCAGUUGUAGCUUUGGUUUCAUUUGUAUUGUUUUUCUGUUUGGUUACAGCAAUUUGUCUUUGCUUUGCUUGCUAUGAUUAACUUUUGAAACAUUGACAUAGAUUUUUACAUUGGUUAGGAUAUUAUGCCUGGACAGCGUGUUGAUUGUUUUUCCUUUUCAUGCUUUUCGAGGAGCUACCUGCCAUCAGUAUCUCUAAUACAUGUUUUUUUUUUUUCUUUCGUACUUAAGAAUUACAUGUUUUGUUUAAUAAUUUGUCAUUUUUUGUACUAUUUAGUUUUUUAAAGAAUUUUAAUUUGUUUGGUUUUUUUUUUUAUUUCACUUUAAAUGCACCAAAUGAUUUUUGAGUGCCACCGAAAGGUGUUGGUUCUAAUGAAUAUUAUUGUUCCCUUCCUGACAAGCAUGAGGCUUACUACCCACACAUACACACACAUACUUUAAGAAUCUUCUUGGUAGCACUAUAAAUUAUGUUUUUUUGUAUGUUAUUGCUUUUUUUUUCUUUUUACUAUUAAUUUCAAAAUCUGGACUUCAUGGGAGACCAGUACAUGUAUUGAAUGAGCUUUCAAUGAUAAAGGAAGAAAAGAUAUAUGAGAAGAAUAAUUUAAUACUUAAAAUUUGUUUAAUAUUAAGGUAAAACUGAUGUUACUUUACAAGUGUGGGAUAUUGGUGGCCAGACACUAGGAGGCAAGAUGUUGGAUAACUAUAUUUAUGGAGCCCAUAACCUACAUAGCAGCUUUGCAAACCAGGGAGGAGAUCUUGAGAACUCUUUGUGGUUCUCUCUUGCCAAAAAAGACUGGGUAGCUGAAAAAAAUCUUGUCAAGUCUACAUUCGAAUACGCUACGAACAUAAUUGAAAUGGCUCUGUACAUGGCAAAAAGUAAUAUGAAAGAGUUUUUUACACUGCUGAAAUAAUGUGCGAUCCGGGAACAAUUGCUGGGAAAUUACCAAAACCAGACAAAAAUCAGUUCGUGUCCAAUUUACUCAGCCGAUUCAACAGAAAUUAAAUACUGUAUAGCCAUACAGUAACAUGACCAUGUUACACUUUUUUUUUUAUAAGAGCCAUUCAAAUUAUGCCCAGGCUCACUGUUAUUAUUUUUGCUGAUUCCAGCAUUGCUCUAUUUCCAUUUACAGAAAAUUGUUAUUGUACAGCAGUAUAUUACUGUGCUAUAAACGUUAUAAGAUCGUUAUCGUUGAAGUAUAAACAGGCCUUUAUCCUCAACCUGGGCUUCAAUAUUUGAAAAAGCUUUUGGUUUGUACCUGAUUGUACUUUAAACAUUUCUUAUGAGGUAGUUCUUGUUAUCUUGCAUAGUAAAAUACCUACUACAUGUCUUGAGACAUGUUUCCAAACUACAUCUUCCACGUUGUAUUAACAAAUUCUACCCACUUAUUAAAUGUUUCUAUAUCUUUUUUGGAAAGAGAACAAAAGAUAGUUUCUGGUGACUAAAUUGCAUUCUGAUGUGUUGAAUUUGUGUAGAAAAAAAUCAUGGAAAAUAAUUUUAUAUAACCAAUUAUGUUAUUUACUAAGAUAAUUCAUAUAUAAGGGUUUUUUUAAAUGAUAAUACUGUUAGUGCAAUAAACAAGCAAUUACUAUUAAUCAUUUUUUAAACAAGUUAAAUUGGAUAACAAUUAUAUUUAUUAUUACAUGUACUAAUCUUUACAUUUAAUGAUAAUAAAGCAUGCUUUAGCAUGAAUACUGCAAUCAUAAUCUAACUGUAAA
Molecule: long non-coding RNA, 1715 nt
Filed under: Anneissia japonica
Lineage: Eukaryota; Metazoa; Echinodermata; Crinoidea; Comatulida; Comatulidae
Description: uncharacterized LOC117117368
Source: RNAcentral